UACGUAGGGUGCAAGCGUUGUCCGGAAUUACUGGGCGUAAAGCGUGCGCAGGCGGUUAUGUAAGACAGGUGUGAAAUCCCAGGGCUUAACCUUGGAACUGCAUUUGUGACUGCAUAGCUAGAGUACGGUAGAGGGGGAUGGAAUUCCGCGUGUAGCAGUGAAAUGCGUAGAUAUGCGGAGGAACACCGAUGGCGAAGGCAAUCCCCUGGACCUGUACUGACGCUCAUGCACGAAAGCGUGGGGAGCAAACAGG
Molecule: ribosomal RNA, 253 nt
Filed under: uncultured bacterium
Lineage: Bacteria
Description: partial 16S ribosomal RNA
Rfam family: Bacterial small subunit ribosomal RNA
Source: RNAcentral